GACGUAGGGCGCGAGCGUUGUCCGGAUUUAUUGGGCGUAAAGAGCUCGUAGGCGGCUUGUUGCGUCGACCGUGAAAACCCGGGGCUCAACUUCGGGCUUGCGGUCGAUACGGGCGGGCUAGAGUUCGGUAGGGGAGACUGGAAUUCCUGGUGUAGAGGUGAAAUUCGUAGAUAUCGGGAGGAACACCAGUGGCGAAGGCGGCGAUCUGGGAAGAUACUGACGCUGAGGCGCGAAAGCGUGGGGAGCAAACAGG
RNAcentral lists this ribosomal RNA (253 nucleotides) under uncultured bacterium. RNAcentral describes it as "partial 16S ribosomal RNA". It matches the Rfam family "Bacterial small subunit ribosomal RNA", at positions 524 to 776 of the family's 1533-position model. The record is from RNAcentral.